Molecule: non-coding RNA, 417 nt
Filed under: Alligator sinensis (Chinese alligator)
Lineage: Eukaryota; Metazoa; Chordata; Crocodylia; Alligatoridae
Description: Eukaryotic large subunit ribosomal RNA
Rfam family: Eukaryotic large subunit ribosomal RNA
Source: Rfam by way of RNAcentral
UGGUGUAAUAGUAAUCCUGCUCAGUAUGAUAGGAACCGCAGGUUCAAAUACUUGGUGUAUGUGCUUGGCUGAGGAGCCAAUGGGGCAAAACUACCAUCUGUGGGAUUAUGACUGAACACCUCUAAAUCAGAAUAGCCCCUAAAGGUAAUGAUACUGCUGUGCCAUGGAGCCUUGAUUGGCUCUGGAUAGCUGGCCACUCCCCCAGAGGGGGCAGGACCCAGUGUGGAGAGCCGUUCAUGUUGGGACAGGAGAGCAGGCAGAGGGCAGCCACAUUUCCACCCACAGCAUAUCACAUGUUCACAGGGAACCUGGUGCUAAAUCAUUCAUAGAUGCCCUGAUUCUGGGUUAGGUUUUUGUAUAUAGCAGACCAGCUACCUUGUUGCAAUCUAUUGAAAGUCAGCCCUUGAAACAAGCUUU